This 344-nucleotide ribosomal RNA is filed under the name Bacillus subtilis. RNAcentral describes it as "bacterial SSU rRNA". It matches the Rfam family "Bacterial small subunit ribosomal RNA", at positions 359 to 696 of the family's 1533-position model. The record is from RNAcentral. Lineage: Bacteria; Bacillati; Bacillota; Bacilli; Caryophanales; Bacillaceae.
AUCUUUCGCCAAUGGACGAAAGUUUGACGAGGCAACGCCGCGUGAGUGGUGAAGGUUUCGGAUCGUAAAGCUCUGUUGUUAGGGAAGAACAAGUACCGUUUGAAUAGGGCGGUACCUUGACGGUACCUAACCAGAAAGCCACGGCUAAAUACGUGCCAGCAGCCGCGGUAAUACGUAGGUGGCAAGCGUUGUCCGGAAUUAUUGGGCGUAAAGGGCUCGCAGGCGGUUUCUUAAGUCUGAUGUGAAAGCCCCCGGCUCAACCGGGGAGGGUCAUUGGAAACUGGGGAACUUGAGUGCAGAAGAGGAGAGUGGAAUUCCACGUGUAGCGGUGAAAUGCGUAGAGA